This 253-nucleotide ribosomal RNA is filed under the name uncultured bacterium. RNAcentral's name for it is "partial 16S ribosomal RNA". It matches the Rfam family "Bacterial small subunit ribosomal RNA", at positions 524 to 776 of the family's 1533-position model. The record is from RNAcentral.
UACGUAGGGUGCAAGCGUUGUCCGGAAUUAUUGGGCGUAAAGAGCUCGUAGGCGGUCUGUCGCGUCUGCUGUGAAAACUCGGGGCUUAACCCCGGGCCUGCAGUGGGUACGGGCAGACUAGAGUGCGGUAGGGGAGACUGGAAUUCCUGGUGUAGCGGUGAAAUGCGCAGAUAUCAGGAGGAACACCGGUGGCGAAGGCGGCAUCCUGGACCAUUACUGACGCUGAGGCGCGAAAGCUAGGGGAGCAAACGGG